RNAcentral lists this long non-coding RNA (210 nucleotides) under Elaeis guineensis (African oil palm). Its description in RNAcentral is "long non-coding RNA (EGUI_LNC021123)". The record is from RNAcentral. Lineage: Eukaryota; Viridiplantae; Streptophyta; Magnoliopsida; Arecales; Arecaceae.
AAGCCAAGAGCCCAGAGCAGGGUGGAGCUCCAGGUGGAGGUGGAUCAGGCGCUAGACCGGAGAUUCGGAAGGACGAGAGGUGACGUUGCAUGGUGAGAUUUCUAUUGCUGUAGGAUGAUAUCCCAAGCAGAUUUUUGAUCAGAAUGGACACAGCUCAUGAUGAAGAUGGGAUCGAGCGGUCUGGCUCGACUCCCACAUUUGCCCUCCAUG